CUGCUCCUAUGAGUCCAUUCCCUCACACGAUCAUGCAUUCACCCACAGAUACGUGAGCAACGUGUGUGCUCGAUGUCAGAGGAAAUACAGCGGCUGGCUCACCCCGCCCCUCCCAGAGGGACGAUCUACACGCAGUGUUAGGAGGGGGCACGGAGUCCACAGAUCAUGGGAAGAACUCCAUGAAUGGCCUGUGACUUGAAGCAGAAGCAGACACUUUCCAGACAGGAAAAGAGGGCCAUGCUGGAGGGGGAAGACCAGCAGAGGACUUUCGGUACGUCAAGUCCCAGGGGCUCAGGAUAUGUGCAUGGGGCACCUGAAAGACUGGAGAGGUGGGGAGCUGACUUCCAGUCCCUGCGGUGAGGGGGCUUUCGCCCAGGCUCUUAGUGACCCAGCGACAUCCUAGGAGACAAGGAGUCCAACUCCCAGAGUGGUAUUAAUGAUCAAAGAUGCCAUUUGUGAAGUGCCUGACCCUCAAGAUGGUCCAAAGCUGGAGUUACCCACUCGGGUGGAAGCAGGACUUGAAAGCAGUACUGCUUUGUCCUUUACACAACACUGUUUCUCAUGAAAAUCACAGACACUCAGUAGAUAACGUGAUGAAUGAGAGUCCACUGGCCACAGAGGAGAGUGUAUUUAUUCCACCAGGUUAACCAAAACGUCUCCAUUGGCUACAAAGUUCCCGGGCACGCAGCCUGUCCCCACCCAUGGGAGUCCCCUGGGGUGUGCAGGCUGUCAAUGAAAUGUCAUUCUGCGACUGCCACACUUCAGGGCUUCUUCUGACAAACAGAUGGUGACUUCUGACAUCCUUUGCAUGGUGUUUUUGCCCGCCCUGGGGAAACCAGCAUUUGUUUCCCUCUGCUCUGACUCGUCACAGAGUUCCUUCCCCCUGACUUUGAGAAGUAAAUAAAAAAUGCUUUCCUUACA
Molecule: long non-coding RNA, 921 nt
Filed under: Homo sapiens (human)
Lineage: Eukaryota; Metazoa; Chordata; Mammalia; Primates; Hominidae
Description: HSALNT0122427
Source: RNAcentral